This 1656-nucleotide ribosomal RNA is filed under the name metagenome. Its description in RNAcentral is "SSU rRNA". It matches the Rfam family "Eukaryotic small subunit ribosomal RNA". The record is from RNAcentral.
AGAGUUUGAUUCUGGCUCAGAACGAACGCUGGCGGCAUGCCUAACACAUGCAAGUCGAACGAGACCUUCGGGUCUAGUGGCGCACGGGUGCGUAACGCGUGGGAAUCUGCCCUUAGGUUCGGAAUAACAGUUAGAAAUGACUGCUAAUACCGGAUGAUGACGUAAGUCCAAAGAUUUAUCGCCUAAGGAUGAGCCCGCGUAGGAUUAGCUUGUUGGUGAGGUAAAGGCUCACCAAGGCGACGAUCCUUAGCUGGUCUGAGAGGAUGAUCAGCCACACUGGGACUGAGACACGGCCCAUACUCCUACGGGAGGCAGCAGUGGGGAAUAUUGGACAAUGGGCGAAAGCCUGAUCCAGCAAUGCCGCGUGAGUGAUGAAGGCCUUAGGGUUGUAAAGCUCUUUUACCCGGGAAGAUAAUGACUGUACCGGGAGAAUAAGCCCCGGCUAACUCCGUGCCAGCAGCCGCGGUAAUUCCAGCUCUCAAGGUGUAUAUCGCCAUUGCUGCGGUUAAAAAGCUCGUAGUUGGAUCUGCGCCUUCGGACUCGGUCCUCCCAACGGGUGCGAACUGAGCUCCAAGGCUACUACUGCUGGUUUUCCCUUGAUGCUCUUCACUGGGUGUCUUGGGUGGCUAGCGAGUUUACUUUGAAAAAAUUAGAGUGCUCAAAACAGGCUAUUGCUUGAAUACCGGUGCAUGGAAUAAUAGAAUAGGAUCUCGGUCCUAUUCUGUUGGUUUUCGGAACUGAGAUAAUGGUUAAGAGGGACAGACGGGGGCAUUCGUAUCGCUGCGUGAGAGGUGAAAUUCUUGGACCGCAGCGAGACGCCCAACUGCGAAAGCAUUUGCCAAGAAUGUCUUCGUUAAUCAAGAACGAAAGUCAGAGGUUCGAAGGCGAUCAGAUACCGCCCUAGUUCUGACCGUAAACGAUGCCAACUAGCGAUCCGCCGGUGGUAAUUACGCCCCGGCGGGGAGCUUCCCGGAAACGAAAGUCUUCCGGUUCCGGGGGAAGUAUGGUUGCAAAGCUGAAACUUAAAGGAAUUGACGGAAGGGCACCACCAGGAGUGGAGCUUGCGGCUUAAUUUGACCCAACACGGGAAAACUCACCCGGCCCGGACACCGUAAGGAUUGACAGAUUGAGAGCUCUUUCUUGAUUCGGUGGUUGGUGGUGCAUGGCCGUUCUUAGUUGGUGGAGCGAUUUGUCUGGUUUAUUCCGAUAACGAACGAGACUCUGGCCUACUAACUAGUGACAGAAUUAUUGCUGUUCUGGUUACUUCUUAGAGGGACAAGUGGUGUUCAGCCACACGAAAUUGAGCAAUAACAGGUCUGUGAUGCCCUUAGAUGUCCGGGGCUGCACGCGUGCUACGCUGGAGGAGACAGCAUGCAAAACCAUUGCCGAGAGGCAUUGGUAAACCCGAGAAAAUCUUCCGUGAUCGGGAUCGGGAAUUGCAAUUAUUUCCCUUGAACGAGGAAUUCCCAGUAAGUGUGGGUCAUCAGCUCGCGCUGAUUACGUCCCUGCCCUUUGUACACACCGCCCGUCGCUGCCCGGGACUGAGCCGUUUCGAGAAAAGCGGGGACUGCUGCUGUUGGGGCUUUCGGGCCUUGGCUUCGGUGGAAACCGCUUUAAUCGCAGUGGCUUGAACCGGGCAAAAGUCGUAACAAGGUU